GGGGAAAUAGCUCAGUUGGUUAGAGUGCUGGUCUGUCACGCCAGAAGUCGCGGGUUCGAACCCCGUUUUCCCCC
This 74-nucleotide transfer RNA is filed under the name Microstegium vimineum (Japanese stiltgrass). RNAcentral describes it as "tRNA-Asp". It matches the Rfam family "tRNA". From Rfam's summary of the family: Transfer RNA (tRNA) molecules are approximately 80 nucleotides in length. The record is from RNAcentral. RNAcentral also lists the same sequence under 1 other name. Lineage: Eukaryota; Viridiplantae; Streptophyta; Magnoliopsida; Poales; Poaceae.